Neogobius melanostomus (round goby) is the source of this 1496-nucleotide long non-coding RNA. Lineage: Eukaryota; Metazoa; Chordata; Actinopteri; Gobiiformes; Gobiidae. The record is from Ensembl.
UCCUUUUUGUUUUAUAAAGUCUGGUCUACACUAAAAAACUGACAUUUUUAAUGAAUACAACUUCAGGCUACAUUGACUUCAAUUAGGCUGUCAGCACCAUUAGGCUACAGACAGCACCUGUCCAGUGCUGACAGUGCCUAGUUUGAUCCCCAGAAGAUAAUUAAUAAUCCCCAUCAUUAAAAUACGGACAAGGAAAUGAACAGUUUUGCCUGCCCAUCUCUCAACAUAAGAAUAACUAAAACAACGCCUCUAGCCUAUUAUAGGCUUUCCCCCCUUCUUUUUUAAUUGAUAUCUACCUAAACACGAAGGCACUUGUUGUCUGUAGCAUAGCCUACGUGCCAAGUUGUUUCAAGGUUCAUUGCGGGCCAAUGGGAGUUAAGUGCGCUGCCUUGCGUCAUGCGUAAGGGGCGUGGUGGAGGCGCGCAUGCUGCUGUGUAGUAUCAGAAGGCAGUGUAGCGCUUCAACUCUACCGAGACUGUUCCCGGUUCAUUCGCGGCGCAGGCACACGAGCGGGCAGAAGACGGACACGGCAAAGUUGACAGAAAACACCACCACGACUUGGCUGAUUCUCGGAUUGCUCAUCGUUUCACGGUGUUACUGCUGAUCCAAGACAGGGCUAAGUGACCGAUGUGCUAGCAUUUGUCAGAGGCGAGUUCUAGAGAGAAUAUAAUAGUCAGCGUCCGAAUGCACGUCUGUGUACUCUGAAGUGAGCGGUGCAAAGUAAGUUGAGAGAACCAGGACUGGCUGAGAAACGGGGCUGGGCAAAGGUUUGGACACAGGGAGUCCGGUUCGUGGCGGAAAAUCCCAGCAGGUCAUGCGGCUUGCUCUGUUCCUUGGUCUGAGCGCCACGACACAUCACUAGACGGCGGUACUGAAGAAGAAGAAGCUGACUCCGAAAGGGCAAGAGCUUUCUGCCUGUGCUGUCCCGUCCGCAGCGGGUACUUGGGGAGGCUACAGUCGCCGAGAUGUCCCGCAGGAAGCAGAGCAAACCCCGGCAGAUAAAGCGGUCCAUGGGCGAUCUGGACAGUGGGGAGGACAACGCAGCGGACAGUGUCAGUCUGUCAGGCGAAGAGGCGGGGCUUCCGAUCCAGACGACUCCGCAGAGGACCGGGACAGCUCCAGCCCGCUGCCGCACACACCAGGCUACAGUGAGGAGGACCUGCACAUAACGGAAGAGAGUGGAGUUUGUACCAUUUUGACUCGCACCGACCUCUGUCAGGACACAGUGUGGGGCCUUAUCCCGGAACAGUCCAAUCGGAGAGCGGCAAGGAGGACCAGGAAGCACAGGUCUCUGGGGUGACUCUAAUAUCUGAAGAUGAAAACUGUUGGAUCACCAAACUCCCUUUAACUGCAGACGCCUCAUCUGCCAACUGCAUAGUCUACUGCCAAGGUAAGGGGUUUUUUAAAUAAGUAAAAAUUGAUUUUCUGUGAAAUUAGUAAACAAGUGUGUGAGAUCUUAUUACUACACUCGUUCUGUGCAGGAAAGGAGUUGUUCU